This 449-nucleotide ribosomal RNA is filed under the name uncultured bacterium. RNAcentral describes it as "partial 16S ribosomal RNA". It matches the Rfam family "Bacterial small subunit ribosomal RNA", at positions 354 to 796 of the family's 1533-position model. The record is from RNAcentral.
GUCGAGAAUCUUUCACAAUGGGGGCAACCCUGAUGGAGCGACGCCGCGUGGAGGAUAAGGUCUUCGGAUUGUAAACUCCUGUCAUGCGUGAACAAGGUUGCUUGGUUAAUACCUGGGCAAAUUGAUGGUAACGCAAGAGGAAGAGACGGCUAACUCUGUGCCAGCAGCCGCGGUAAUACAGAGGUCUCAAGCGUUGUUCGGAAUCACUGGACGUAAAGGGUGCGUAGGUGGCGUGGUAAGUCAGAUGUGAAAGCCCGGGGCUCAACCUCGGAACUGCAUCCGGUACUGCCAUGCUAGAGUACUGGAGAGGUGACUAGAAUUCUCGGUGUAGCAGUGAAAUGCGUAGAUAUCGAGAGGAAUACCAAAGGCGUAGGCAGGUCACUGGACAGUUACUGACACUGAGGCACGAAGGCCAGGGGAGCGAACGGGAUUAGAAACCCUGGUAGUCC